Molecule: microRNA precursor, 99 nt
Organism: Caenorhabditis elegans
Lineage: Eukaryota; Metazoa; Nematoda; Chromadorea; Rhabditida; Rhabditidae
Source: Ensembl
CCACAAAAAUGCCAUACAUGACACUGAUUAGGGAUGUGAUGAAUGUUAAGAUCCCGAUCAAAUUCCUAACGGUGUCAAACAUGGCGUAUGUGGUUGUAG